This 301-nucleotide ribosomal RNA is filed under the name uncultured bacterium. RNAcentral describes it as "partial 16S ribosomal RNA". It matches the Rfam family "Bacterial small subunit ribosomal RNA", at positions 509 to 809 of the family's 1533-position model. The record is from RNAcentral.
CAGCCGCCGCGGUAAUACGUAGGUGGCAAGCGUUGUCCGGAAUUAUUGGGCGUAAAGCGCGCGCAGGUGGUUUAAUAAGUCUGAUGUGAAAGCCCACGGCUCAACCGUGGAGGGUCAUUGGAAACUGUUAAACUUGAGUGCAGGAGAGAAAAGUGGAAUUCCUAGUGUAGCGGUGAAAUGCGUAGAGAUUAGGAGGAACACCAGUGGCGAAGGCGGCUUUUUGGCCUGUAACUGACACUGAGGCGCGAAAGCGUGGGGAGCAAACAGGAUUAGAUACCCGCGUAGUCCCUGUCUCUUAUAA